GGGGAAUCUUCCGCAAUGGGCGAAAGCCUGACGGAGCAACGCCGCGUGAGUGAAGACGGCCUUCGGGUUGUAAAGCUCUGUUAUAUGGGACGAACGGGUGUAUGGUCAAUACCCAUACGCCGUGACGGUACCGUAAGAGAAAGCCACGGCUAACUACGUGCCAGCAGCCGCGGUAAUACGUAGGUGGCAAGCGUUGUCCGGAAUCAUUGGGCGUAAAGGGCGCGCAGGCGGUUCGGUAAGUCGGUCUUAAAAGUGCGGGGCUUAACCCCGUGAUGGGAUUGAAACUGCCGGACUGGAGUGUCGGAGAGGAAAGCAGAAUUCCUAGUGUAGCGGUGAAAUGCGUAGAUAUUAGGAGGAAUACCAGUGGCGAAAGCGGCUUUCUGGACGACAACUGACGCUGAGGCGCGAAAGCCAGGGGAGCAAACGGGAUUAGAUACCCCGGUAGUCCUGGCCGUAAACGAUGGAUACUAGGUGUAGGAGGUAUCGACCCCUUCUGUGCCGGAGUUAACGCAAUAAGUAUCCCGCCUGGGGAGUACGGCCGCAAGGUUGAAAC
RNAcentral lists this ribosomal RNA (553 nucleotides) under uncultured bacterium. Its description in RNAcentral is "partial 16S ribosomal RNA". It matches the Rfam family "Bacterial small subunit ribosomal RNA", at positions 356 to 900 of the family's 1533-position model. The record is from RNAcentral.